UACGGGGGGUGCGAGCGUUGUCCGGAAUCACUGGGCGUAAAGGGCGCGUAGGUGGUUUGAUAAGGGUGUGGUGAAAGUCCGGGGCUCAACCCCGGAUCUGCCGUGCCGACUGUCAAACUCGAGGGCUGUAGAGGCAGACGGAAUUCCGGGUGUAGCGGUGGAAUGCGUAGAGAUCCGGAGGAAGACCGGUGGCGAAGGCGGUCUGCUGGGCAGUUUCUGACACUGAUGCGCGGACAGCGUGGGGAGCAAACAGG
This 254-nucleotide ribosomal RNA is filed under the name uncultured bacterium. RNAcentral's name for it is "partial 16S ribosomal RNA". It matches the Rfam family "Bacterial small subunit ribosomal RNA", at positions 524 to 776 of the family's 1533-position model. The record is from RNAcentral.